This 468-nucleotide RNase P RNA is filed under the name Spirochaetaceae bacterium. Its description in RNAcentral is "RNase P RNA component class A". It matches the Rfam family "Bacterial RNase P class A". From Rfam's summary of the family: Ribonuclease P (RNase P) is a ubiquitous endoribonuclease, found in archaea, bacteria and eukarya as well as chloroplasts and mitochondria. Its best characterised activity is the generation of mature 5'-ends of tRNAs by cleaving the 5'-leader elements of precursor-tRNAs. Cellular RNase Ps are ribonucleoproteins. Lineage: Bacteria; Pseudomonadati; Spirochaetota; Spirochaetia; Spirochaetales; Spirochaetaceae. The record is from RNAcentral.
GGAGGCGGGCCGGCCAUCGCCGCGUCCGGUUCGGGCGUGGAGGAAAGUCCGGGCUCCGAAGAGCAGGGUGCCGGGUAAUCCCCGGGCGUCCGCGCCAAGGCGCGGGCGACAGACAGUGCAGCAGAGAACAGACCGCCGGGCAACCGUGCCGCAAGGGACGGCGCGUCCGGCAAGGGUGAAACGGUGGGGUAAGAGCCCACCACUCCGGCGGCGACGCCGGAGGUAUGGCAAACCUCGCCCGGAGCAAAGCCAAGCAGCGGGUCGGGUUGCUCGCCACAUGAGGGCGGUCCCUCCGGGGACGCCGUCCUCGGGCCCGCGGGUAGGCUGCUCGAGUGCCGCGCCGGCGCCAUCCGGCGCCGUCGCGUGCGCCAGAUGAAUGAUGGCCCGCCCCGGUGGCGGCCGGGCCGCGCAGGCGCCCCGGUACGCGUCGGAGUGAACAGAACCCGGCUUACGGGCCCGCCUCCUCUU